UAAGUUAGAAAGGGCGCACGGUGGAUGCCUUGACACUAGGAGUCGAUGAAGGACGGGACUAACGCCGAUAUGCUUCGGGGAGCUGUAAGUAAGCUUUGAUCCGAAGAUUUCCGAAUGGGGAAACCCACCAUACGUAAUGGUAUGGUAUCCUUAUCUGAAUACAUAGGGUAAGGAAGACAGACCCAGGGAACUGAAACAUCUAAGUACCUGGAGGAAGAGAAAGCAAAUGCGAUUUCCUGAGUAGCGGCGAGCGAAACGGAACAUAGCCCAAACCAAGAGGCUUGCCUCUUGGGGUUGUAGGACAUUCUAUACGGAGUUACAAAGGAACGAGGUAGACGAAGCGACCUGGAAAGGUCCGUCGUAGAGGGUAACAACCCCGUAGUCGAAACUUCGUUCUCUCUUGAAUGUAUCCUGAGUACGGCGGAACACGUGAAAUUCCGUCGGAAUCUGGGAGGACCAUCUCCCAAGGCUAAAUACUCCCUAGUGAUCGAUAGUGAACCAGUACCGUGAGGGAAAGGUGAAAAGCACCCCGGAAGGGGAGUGAAAGAGAUCCUGAAACCGUGUGCCUACAAAUAGUCAGAGCCCGUUAACGGGUGAUGGCGUGCCUUUUGUAGAAUGAACCGGCGAGUUACGAUCCCGUGCGAGGUUAAGCUGAAGAGGCGGAGCCGCAGCGAAAGCGAGUCUGAAUAGGGCGUUUAGUACGUGGUCGUAGACCCGAAACCAGGUGAUCUACCCAUGUCCAGGGUGAAGUUCAGGUAACACUGAAUGGAGGCCCGAACCCACGCACGUUGAAAAGUGCGGGGAUGAGGUGUGGGUAGCGGAGAAAUUCCAAUCGAACCUGGAGAUAGCUGGUUCUCCCCGAAAUAGCUUUAGGGCUAGCCUUAAGUGUAAGAGUCUUGGAGGUAGAGCACUGAUUGGACUUAGGGGUCCUCAUCGGAUUACCGAAUUCAGUCAAACUCCGAAUGCCAAUGACUUAUCCUUAGGAGUCAGACUGCGAGUGAUAAGAUCCGUAGUCAAAAGGGAAACAGCCCAGACCGCCAGCUAAGGUCCCAAAGUGUGUAUUAAGUGGAAAAGGAUGUGGAGUUGCUUAGACAACUAGGAUGUUGGCUUAGAAGCAGCCACCAUUUAAAGAGUGCGUAAUAGCUCACUAGUCGAGUGACUCUGCGCCGAAAAUGUACCGGGGCUAAAUACACCACCGAAGCUGCGGAUUGAUACCAAUGGUAUCAGUGGUAGGGGAGCGUUCUAAGGACAGUGAAGUCAGACCGGAAGGACUGGUGGAGUGCUUAGAAGUGAGAAUGCCGGUAUGAGUAGCGAAAGACGGGUGAGAAUCCCGUCCACCGAAUGCCUAAGGUUUCCUGAGGAAGGCUCGUCCGCUCAGGGUUAGUCAGGACCUAAGCCGAGGCCGACAGGCGUAGGCGAUGGACAACAGGUUGAUAUUCCUGUACCACCUCUUUAUCGUUUGAGCAAUGGAGGGACGCAGAAGGAUAGAAGAAGCGUGCGAUUGGUUGUGCACGUCCAAGCAGUUAGGCUGAUAAGUAGGCAAAUCCGCUUAUCGUGAAGGCUGAGCUGUGAUGGGGAAGCUCCUUAUGGAGCGAAGUCUUUGAUUCCCCGCUGCCGAGAAAAGCUUCUAGCGAGAUAAAAGGUGCCUGUACCGCAAACCGACACAGGUAGGCGAGGAGAGAAUCCUAAGGUGUGCGAGAGAACUCUGGUUAAGGAACUCGGCAAAAUGACCCCGUAACUUCGGGAGAAGGGGUGCUUUCUUAACGGAAAGCCGCAGUGAAUAGGCCCAAGCGACUGUUUAGCAAAAACACAGCUCUCUGCGAAGCCGUAAGGCGAAGUAUAGGGGGUGACACCUGCCCGGUGCUGGAAGGUUAAGGAGAGGGGUUAGCGUAAGCGAAGCUCUGAACUGAAGCCCCAGUAAACGGCGGCCGUAACUAUAACGGUCCUAAGGUAGCGAAAUUCCUUGUCGGGUAAGUUCCGACCCGCACGAAAGGUGUAACGAUUUGGGCACUGUCUCAACCAGAGACUCGGUGAAAUUAUAGUACCUGUGAAGAUGCAGGUUACCCGCGACAGGACGGAAAGACCCCGUGGAGCUUUACUGUAGCCUGAUAUUGAAUUUUGGUACAGUUUGUACAGGAUAGGCGGGAGCCUUUGAAACCGGAGCGCUAGCUUCGGUGGAGGCGCUGGUGGGAUACCGCCCUGACUGUAUUGAAAUUCUAACCUACGGGUCUUAUCGACCCGGGAGACAGUGUCAGGUGGGCAGUUUGACUGGGGCGGUCGCCUCCUAAAGUGUAACGGAGGCGCCCAAAGGUUCCCUCAGAAUGGUUGGAAAUCAUUCGUAGAGUGCAAAGGCAUAAGGGAGCUUGACUGCGAGACCUACAAGUCGAGCAGGGACGAAAGUCGGGCUUAGUGAUCCGGUGGUUCCGCAUGGAAGGGCCAUCGCUCAACGGAUAAAAGCUACCCCGGGGAUAACAGGCUUAUCUCCCCCAAGAGUCCACAUCGACGGGGAGGUUUGGCACCUCGAUGUCGGCUCAUCGCAUCCUGGGGCUGUAGUCGGUCCCAAGGGUUGGGCUGUUCGCCCAUUAAAGCGGUACGCGAGCUGGGUUCAGAACGUCGUGAGACAGUUCGGUCCCUAUCCGUCGUGGGCGUAGGAAAUUUGAGAGGAGCUGUCCUUAGUACGAGAGGACCGGGAUGGACGCACCGCUGGUGUACCAGUUGUUCUGCCAAGGGCAUAGCUGGGUAGCUAUGUGCGGAAGGGAUAAGUGCUGAAAGCAUCUAAGCAUGAAGCCCCCCUCAAGAUGAGAUUUCCCAUAGCGUAAGCUAGUAAGAUCCCUGAAAGAUGAUCAGGUUGAUAGGUUCGAGGUGGAAGCAUGGUGACAUGUGGAGCUGACGAAUACUAAUAGAUCGAGGACUUAACCA
This 2919-nucleotide ribosomal RNA is filed under the name Bacillus cereus. RNAcentral's name for it is "bacterial LSU rRNA". It matches the Rfam family "Bacterial large subunit ribosomal RNA". Lineage: Bacteria; Bacillati; Bacillota; Bacilli; Caryophanales; Bacillaceae. The record is from RNAcentral.